AAUAUGUUAGGAUAAUUAAAAGUCUGUAAGAUUCAUAUUCUUAAGGUAUUUCAUGUUU
This 58-nucleotide transfer RNA is filed under the name Setaria digitata. RNAcentral's name for it is "tRNA-Met". Lineage: Eukaryota; Metazoa; Nematoda; Chromadorea; Rhabditida; Setariidae. The record is from RNAcentral.